RNAcentral lists this ribosomal RNA (465 nucleotides) under Vreelandella stevensii. RNAcentral's name for it is "partial 16S ribosomal RNA". It matches the Rfam family "Bacterial small subunit ribosomal RNA", at positions 338 to 795 of the family's 1533-position model. The record is from RNAcentral. Lineage: Bacteria; Pseudomonadati; Pseudomonadota; Gammaproteobacteria; Oceanospirillales; Halomonadaceae.
CCUACGGGGGGCAGCAGUGGGGAAUAUUGGACAAUGGGGGGAACCCUGAUCCAGCCAUGCCGCGUGUGUGAAGAAGGCCCUCGGGUUGUAAAGCACUUUCAGUGAGGAAGAACGCCUGGUGGUUAAUACCCAUCAGGAAAGACAUCACUCACGGAAGAAGCACCGGCUAACUCCGUGCCAGCAGCCGCGGUAAUACGGAGGGUGCGAGCGUUAAUCGGAAUUACUGGGCGUAAAGCGCGCGUAGGUGGCUUGAUAAGCCGGUUGUGAAAGCCCCGGGCUCAACCUGGGAACGGCAUCCGGAACUGUCAAGCUAGAGUGCAGGAGAGGAAGGUAGAAUUCCCGGUGUAGCGGUGAAAUGCGUAGAGAUCGGGAGGAAUACCAGUGGCGAAGGCGGUCUUCUGGACUGACACUGACACUGAGGUGCGAAAGCGUGGGUAGCAAACAGGAUUAGAUACCCCUGUAGUC